This 403-nucleotide ribosomal RNA is filed under the name Sandaracinobacter sp. R-46192. RNAcentral describes it as "bacterial SSU rRNA". It matches the Rfam family "Bacterial small subunit ribosomal RNA", at positions 21 to 452 of the family's 1533-position model. Lineage: Bacteria; Pseudomonadati; Pseudomonadota; Alphaproteobacteria; Sphingomonadales; Sphingosinicellaceae. The record is from RNAcentral.
GGCUCAGAACGAACGCUGGCGGCAUGCCUAACACAUGCAAGUCGAACGAGACCUUCGGGUCUAGUGGCGCACGGGUGCGUAACGCGUGGGAAUCUGCCCAAAGGUACGGAAUAACUCCUCGAAAGGGGUGCUAAUACCGUAUGAUGUCGCAAGACCAAAGAUUUAUCGCCUUUGGAUGAGCCCGCGUAAGAUUAGCUUGUUGGUGGGGUAAAGGCCUACCAAGGCGACGAUCUUUAGCUGGUCUGAGAGGAUGAUCAGCCACACUGGGACUGAGACACGGCCCAGACUCCUACGGGAGGCAGCAGUGGGGAAUAUUGGACAAUGGGCGAAAGCCUGAUCCAGCAAUGCCGCGUGAGUGAUGAAGGCCUUAGGGUUGUAAAGCUCUUUUACCCGGGAAGAUAAU